CCCCAAAUCUUCAUCCAUCCGCUGCCACCCUUAGCCUGCACCUCCCUUCUUCCUUUCAAGCAAAGUCAAGCUCAUAGUACACUAGCUUGUCAACUCAGCCACCCUACACUCCACCUGCAGCCCCUCUUUCUUUCUUGUCAUAGGAGAGGUAGCUGCCAAUAUCCCCCUUUAAACCAAAUAAGCUAGCAACUCCCUUCACCAUUCUACACUAACUCCACGAGAAGAGCAAGUAGGAGAACUCCAUGCAUUUUCUGCCAUUAUUCAAGGUAAAUCUUAGCUUCAAUCUCCCCCAUUCUCUUCAUAUUUCAACCUGCAUUUGUUGAAGAAUACAAAUGUAUUUCAGAAAAAUCCUCAUCAGCCAUCGUUCCCAUCAAAAACAAGGAAGCAAACAACUCAAGAGAAAAUCCAGCAAGUGUGAGUCCUUCUAAAGGCUUCAUCUUGAACACCUACAUCUAUUUCAUUCUGCAUAUGAUUUAAACACCUCUCAAAUCAUAUUUCAGUAAACCACACGAGUUUAUACACCU
RNAcentral lists this long non-coding RNA (524 nucleotides) under Salvia miltiorrhiza (redroot sage). RNAcentral's name for it is "long non-coding RNA (SMIL_LNC007046)". Lineage: Eukaryota; Viridiplantae; Streptophyta; Magnoliopsida; Lamiales; Lamiaceae. The record is from RNAcentral.